GACGAACGCUGGCGGCGUGCUUAACACAUGCAAGUCGAACGGAAAGGCGCUGCUUUUGUUGGGUGCUCGAGUGGCGAACGGGUGAGUAACACGGGAGUAACCUGCCCUUGACUGUGGGAUAACUUCAGGAAACUGGGGCUAAUACCGGAUAGGAGCUCCUGCAGCAUGGUGGGGGUUGGAAAGUUUCGGCGGGUGGGGAUGGACUCGCGGCUUAUCAGCUUGUUGGUGGGGUAGUGGCUUACCAAGGCUUAGACGGGUAGCCGGCAUGAGAGGUGGACCGGGGACCUGGCGCCUGCGAGACGGACCAGACGCCAACGGUAGGCAGCAGUGGGGAGUAUGGCACAACGAGGGGAAGCCUGAGGCAGCAACGCUGCGUGCGGGAUGAAGGCCUGCGGGUUGUAAACCGCUUUGGCCUGUGACGAAGCGUGAGUGACGGUAAUGGGUAAAGAAGCACCGGCUAACUACGUG
Molecule: ribosomal RNA, 468 nt
Filed under: uncultured bacterium
Lineage: Bacteria
Description: partial 16S ribosomal RNA
Rfam family: Bacterial small subunit ribosomal RNA
Source: RNAcentral